This is a long non-coding RNA of Bos mutus (wild yak), 348 nucleotides long. Lineage: Eukaryota; Metazoa; Chordata; Mammalia; Artiodactyla; Bovidae. The record is from Ensembl.
UAUUUAUUUAUUUAUUUUUUUUCUUUUUUUUCUCUUUUUCUUUUUUAAACUCCCCCUCUCCCCUCCUCCUCACUCCUGCCCCCACCCUACAACUUCUUCCCCUCACACCGCCUUUCCCCGGGAAGCCAAGAUGGCCGCCGGUGCCGACGCCCCGGCCAGGCCAGGCCUAGGCCUCGAGCGCUCCCCCUUCCGGCUCCGAGCGGGCGGGGCGAAAGAGCAUGCGCAGUGAGGAGCGCCGCCGGCUGCCGCUCCCAUUCCGAAGCUUCCCAGAUUAUGAAGAAUGAGGCAUCAGCGUUCUGCAUCAUCAUCCAAUGCAAAGGUAAUUUUUUAAAUUGGAUCCUUCUAUGA